UCCCUUGCCUCCAAUUUUCCCAUCUUCCCGGGGAGCCUUGAAAUGUACAUUUGAGAAGACUUUUGCCAUCCUCAGGGAAAAGGACUGUGUCAAGAGUGAGCCACCCAGUCUCUAAAGCUAGGAAGCCCCCAGUGUGCCACGGGAAACGCUUGCCUCUCACCCUGUUUCCCAGCGCCAACCUCCGGGGCAGGCAUCCGGGUGGAGAGAGGACUUGUCCCUCGUGGGUGGUGGUUCUUUAUAGAAAAAAUCGAAGCUUAGCAGCUCCUCGAGGCCCGGGUUUGGUAAAGGCUCCAGUGUGGUGGCCUAUGAAGGACAAUCCUGGCACGACUACUGCUUCCACUGCAAAAAAUGCUCCGUGAAUCUGGCCAACAAGCGCUUUGUUUUCCACCAGGAGCAAGUGUAUUGCCCCGACUGUGCCAAAAAGCUGUAAACUGACAGGGGCUCCUGUCCUGUAAAAUGGCAUUUGAAUCUCGUUCUUUGUGUCCUUACUUUCUGCCCUAUACCAUCAAUAGGGGAAGAGUGGUCCUUCCCUUCUUUAAAGUUCUCCUUCCGUCUUUUCUCCCAUUUUACAGUAUUACUCAAAUAAGGGCACACAGUGAUCAUAUUAGCAUUUAGCAAAAAGCAGCCCUGCAGCAAAGUGAAUUUCUGUCCGGCUGCAAUUUAAAAAUGAAAACUUAGGUAGAUUGACUCUUCUGCAUGUUUCUCAUAGAGCAGAAAAGUGCUAAUCAUUUAGCCACUUAGUGAUGUAAGCAAGAA
This 756-nucleotide small RNA is filed under the name Pan troglodytes (chimpanzee). Its description in RNAcentral is "retained intron". Lineage: Eukaryota; Metazoa; Chordata; Mammalia; Primates; Hominidae. The record is from RNAcentral.